GGCCUUGUGGCUCAGCUGGUAGAGCGUGCGCGUACCAAGCGUAGGCGGCGUCCAUGCGUGGGUUCGAAUCCGACCGAGGAUA
Non-coding RNA from Echinostoma caproni, 82 nucleotides. The record is from Rfam. NCBI's taxonomy places the organism in Eukaryota, Metazoa, Platyhelminthes, Trematoda, Plagiorchiida, Echinostomatidae.